GGGGGUGUUUUGGUUUUGACAGCGCUGACGCUGGACGGUAAGCAUGCCGGGCCUCGGAACCUGUCCCGUAAAACGCAGAUUCCAAAAAAUCAGUUGCCAACAACAACUACGCACUCGCUGCUUAAUUUGCCAAGCAAAUGAGCUUAAUCCGCGACGCCAAGGCUGCGCCGCCGACGAGUAUCCCUCGGACCUUCCGCCCGGUAUCGUCCGACCAAGGGGUAUCAUCCAGACCGGGACGCUCCGGCAGACGCCUCUAAAGCCGGCUAAGACUUAAAGGCUAAGGCAGUCUUCGCCCGCCCUCCGGCAGGGACCGCUCGAAAACCAAAGGAAGGAUAAGCAUGUAGAAAGCCGCCUGGUGCGACGUUUGGACAGCGGUUCGAGUCCGCUCACCUCCAC
This 396-nucleotide transfer-messenger RNA is filed under the name bovine gut metagenome. It matches the Rfam family "transfer-messenger RNA". Rfam says of the family: Bacterial tmRNA, also known as 10Sa RNA or SsrA, is named for its dual tRNA and mRNA-like properties. Its role is to liberate the mRNA from a stalled ribosome. To accomplish this part of the tmRNA is used as a reading frame that ends in a translation stop signal. The record is from RNAcentral.